ACCGUGAAACUGCGAUGGCUCAUAAAUCAGUAUCGUUUAUUUGAUAGUACCUACUACUUGGAUACUGUGGUAAUCUAGAGCUAAUACAUGCUAAAACCCGACUUCGGAAGGGGUGUAUUUAUUAGAUAAAAAACCAAUGCCUUCGGGGCUCUUGGUGAUUCAUAAUAACUUCUCAGAUCGCAUGGCCUUGCGCCGGCGACGGUUCAUUCAAAUUUCUGCCCUAUCAACUUUCGAUGGUAAGGUAUUGGCUUACCAUGGUGGCAACGGGUAACGGGGAAUUAGGGUUCGAUUCCGGAGAGUUAGCCUGAGAAACGGCUAACACAUCCAAGGAAGGCAGCAGGCGCGCAAAUUACCCAAUCCCGAUACGGGGAGGUAGUGACAAUAAAUACUGAUACAGGGCUCUUUUGGGUCUUGUAAUUGGAAUGAGUACAAUUUAAACCUCUUAACGAGGAACAAUUGGAGGGCAAGUCUGGUGCCAGCAGCCGCGGUAAUUCCAGCUCCAAUAGCGUAUAUUAAAGUUGUUGCAGUUAAAAAGCUCGUAGUUGAACCUUUGGCCUGGCUGGCAGGUCCGCCUCACCGCGUGCACUUGUCCGGCCGGGCCUUUUCUUCUGGAGAACCGCAUGCCCUUCACUGGGUGUGUUGGGGACCAGGACUUUUACUUUGAAAAAAUUAGAGUGUUCAAAGCAGGCCUUUGCUCGAAUAUUACAGCAUGGAAUAAUAGAAUAGGACGUGCGGUUCUAUUUUGUUGGUUUCUAGGACCGCCGUAAUGAUUAAUAGGGACAGUCGGGGGCAUCAGUAUUCAAUUGUCAGAGGUGAAAUUCUUGGAUUUAUUGAAGACUAACUACUGCGAAAGCAUUUGCCAAGGAUGUUUUCAUUAAUCAGUGAACGAAAGUUAGGGGAUCGAAGACGAUCAGAUACCGUCGUAGUCUUAACCAUAAACUAUGCCGACUAGGGAUCGGGCGGUGUUACUAUUUUGACUCGCUCGGCACCUUACGAGAAAUCAAAGUGUUUGGGUCUGGGGGAGUAGC
RNAcentral lists this ribosomal RNA (1028 nucleotides) under Stagonospora imperaticola. RNAcentral's name for it is "SSU rRNA". It matches the Rfam family "Eukaryotic small subunit ribosomal RNA", at positions 78 to 1127 of the family's 1831-position model. The record is from RNAcentral. Lineage: Eukaryota; Fungi; Ascomycota; Dothideomycetes; Pleosporales; Massarinaceae.